AACCUAGCACACCUGCGGUGUGUACCUGCGGAGGGAUCAUUACUGAGUGAGGGCCUUCGGGCUCGACCUCCAACCCUUUGUGAACCAAACUUGUUGCUUCGGGGGCGACCCUGCCGGCAUUCGUCAGCGGGCGCCCCCGGAGGCCAUCAAACACUGCAUCUAUGCGUCGGAGUUUAAAUUCAAUUAAACAAAACUUUUAACAACGGAUCU
RNAcentral lists this unclassified non-coding RNA (210 nucleotides) under soil metagenome. RNAcentral describes it as "partial contains 5.8S ribosomal RNA, internal transcribed spacer 2, and large subunit ribosomal RNA". The record is from RNAcentral.